UACGGGGGGGGCAAGCGUUGUUCGGAUUCACUGGGCGUAAAGGGUGCGUAGGCGGUGGGGUAAGUUUGAGGUGAAAUCUCCGGGCCCAACCCGGAAAAUGCCUUGAAUACUAUCCCGCUCGAGGAUCGUAGGGGAGACUGGAAUUCUCGGUGGAGCAGUGAAAUGCGUAGAUAUCGAGAGGAACACCAGUGGCGAAGGCGAGUCUCUGGACGAUUCCUGACGCUGAGGCACGAAAGCCAGGGGAGCAAACGGG
This 253-nucleotide ribosomal RNA is filed under the name uncultured bacterium. RNAcentral's name for it is "partial 16S ribosomal RNA". It matches the Rfam family "Bacterial small subunit ribosomal RNA", at positions 524 to 776 of the family's 1533-position model. The record is from RNAcentral.